Molecule: long non-coding RNA, 2356 nt
Organism: Cyprinus carpio (common carp)
Lineage: Eukaryota; Metazoa; Chordata; Actinopteri; Cypriniformes; Cyprinidae
Source: Ensembl
GUGAACGAAUGACAGGUGGACAGAUCAUUAGUGUUUUAAGGGUGUAAUGAUGACUAUUACGCAGCAAUAGUGCUGGUAAACAUUGCUUUGAACAGGUGACAAUAGCAGAGGUGCUGAAGGUCUAGACUGGUGAUAGAUGAAUACAUCAGUGGAUGGAUGGAUGGACUAAUCAGAGGUGGUCUUUCACAGUAAUCUUAGAAAUAAUUGAAUUCAAAUCCUACAAACAGUAUUACAGAACAGUACAAUACAGUAUUAUAGCUGCUGCCUUGAGGAAAACUUCAGGUUUAAACUUGUUGGCUUCAGAUGUGAUAAGAAGGCUUGAAAUCCAAGCUGAAAACAUUUUUUUUGGAGGGGUGCUGGGAUUGAACUUGAACUGAAAAAAAAUCAGUGUGUUGAUACAGGACAGACCUUUUGACAUAAGACGGUAAAUUAUAACAAGUGUAGUUAACAUGGAAUGGACAAGCUAACCACAACCAAGAUUGUGAAAGUAGAGGGGGGAUCUGGAAAAGAAAUCCAGAAACACAAAGAAACUGUAAAAACCACAAGACUGACAUCUCUACCCCCAAAGGGCAAGAGCAGCUCCGUGAGCAGUCAACAGGUUCUGACCUCCAUAGUGAACAGCUCAGGCUCUGGAGGAGCUUCAGGAGGAGCUGUUCUGGUGGAGAAGAAGAUCAUCACCCAGAGCAGUGCUGAAGGAGGCGCUUCCAGAAGUUAUGUCAUAUCCUCCUCCUCGUCUGGAAGUUCAGGAGCAGUAUCUGUGAUUGGUGGAUUGGAAGAAAUAUCUCGUGAAAUCAGUGUAACUGGACCGAUCAGUAGCUCUACGGUUAAAAGCUCUAGCAGCGUCUCUACCUCUGCAACAGCUGGAGAUCUUUCCUGUGGAUACGGGUCCAUCUCCUCCUCUGAGUUUGCGUCUGGUUCCUCAGGGGGUUCUGUCAGUGUUUCUGGAGGCAGUAUGAACAUAUCCAGAGGUGGAGGAGGUGGCGCUGGCUCUUCUGCAGUCACGUCUGCCGCAGGAACUUCCAGCUCCAUGACUGUGACCAAGUUCAGCUCCUCGUCCCCCAGCGGGACACGGAAAGGUUUGAGUUACAGCACAGCUCCUGCAGAGAGGAAGACCAGUCUGAGCCUUCACAAUGGAGGAUACGAGGGGAGCUCCAGUGGCAAUUCUUCACCUGAAUACAUGAAGAAAGAAUAUGGUAGGUUCAUUUAUUAUUGAGUUUUGGGACUGGUCUGAUUUCAGGGGAAAUAUCCCAUUUGUAUUUCGUAUCAUGCAUGAAAGAAAUUACACAACCCACGAACACACCUCACGAGUGUCAUUUUAUAACUCUGUUUACAGAAGAACAGGACAUUUCGAUUCCGCCUCUAAAAAUGUAGCUAAUGGUCUUUUUUUCUUUUAAGAUCAUGCAACGCCAAACGUAUGCUGUUGUAUGUCUUUUUUAUUUUUUAUUUAUUAUUAUUAUUAUUAAUGGGGUCUGAACUCUCCAAUAAUAUGAAUCUUCUUCUUUCAUCCGUGAUAGCCUACUUGUGUUUCUCAAAAUUCAGCUUUAAUGUUUUUUUUUGUUUUUCAUUUACAGUUUCUACAAGUGUCGCCACUAGAGGACGCACUCAAACACGAGAAAGUGAGAUCAGAGCCAGAUUGCAGAGUGCCUCACCCUCCACUAGAUGGACAGAGCUGGAUGAUGUGAAGAGAUUACUGAAGGGAGGUCGCUCCGGGAGCAUCAGUCCUCCGCGCUCUCCCACCAACACUCUACCUAUCCCCAAAAAAGCCAGUUUGGACGCCCGUCAUGAGAGCCAGUCAGGUUAUGACGGCACAGUCCUGGAUGCAGGAUUCAGUGGAUAUUACACCAACCCAAACAACCUCAGUUACCCCACACUGCAACACGCAUCAUCACCCACAGGUGGCAUGCAGAAUAAUCUGACCCUCAGCUCAUCUGCCCUCAGUAGUGCAGUAUAUGGGAUGCAUAAUAACCUGUCAACAUCUGGUGGUGCUCUCAUGGUAAAUGGAAUCAAUGCUGACCAAGUGUAUGGGGGACAGAGGAAUGUUGGCAGCGCUGGAUUGGCCACCACUGUUACUACUGUUCCCAGCAGCCCUAUCACCGCUGAUGAUGUGUUUGUGAAAGAUGGCAAGUUUAUCGCGAUUGGAAAAGAAAAUGUAGCAGCUAAGAAAGAGACUGAGCGACUGAUUAUGUCCAAAAACACUGGCAAACAGUUCAUCACUUCCACCACCAGUGCUGGAGCAGGUAGAGAGCAGAGACUAGAUAUUUUACGCCAUAUUUAUUUAUUUAUUUGAUUUUUAUUGUAGCUUAAUCUACAGUUGAAAUAGUAAUUUAAUUAGUUACAAAUCUAGUUGUGGUAAAAC